This is a long non-coding RNA of Saccostrea cuccullata (small rock oyster), 644 nucleotides long. RefSeq lists it as uncharacterized. The transcript has 3 exons. The record is from RefSeq and is a predicted model, not a curated record. NCBI's taxonomy places the organism in Eukaryota, Metazoa, Mollusca, Bivalvia, Ostreida, Ostreidae.
UUUCAGAAAAUGUAUAAUUUAUAUUUAUACAUACCUAAAUAUAUAGUUUUAUUCCAUUGAAUAAUUUGUAAAUAUUGAUUUGUUAGACAGGUAAUAUUGUGAACACUUGGAGGCUGCUGUCUAUUGAGACAUCAAAAGGACUCAGUUCCCAAUAGAAAGGUGUUUUCGAAUAAAGAAAAGAAUUUAGUCCUUAUCUGCCUACCCUGUUUUUUAUCCUCAGUCAGGAGAGGGCAAGCAGACAUAUUUUAGAGAUCUCCCUGACUGAAGGAAAUCAACACAGAAUUAUAAAGUCACAGGAAAUAGAAAUAGAAGUCUGGUGUCAGUAAUGUAUACAACAGUAUUACAGAAAUCUGUCACAGUGCCAGGUGAUAGUAAGUGUAGUCACAUUACCCACGUGUCUACGGACCGGGUUUGGAUCAGUGAUAGUAAAGGCAAUCUCAUCUUAACAAACAGGACAGGAGACAAACUAGAUCAAGUGACAGAUUUAACUAAAGAUGGUGGUGGAGUACAUACUGUGACGCGUGAUAGUGCUGUGAUUUAUAUAGACAGUCACUUUAACAUCAUUAAACUGUCUACAGAUAAAGUAAAGACCACAGUGAUACCAUACGCAUCACCAGGGGUACCACGGAGUGUCUACAGCUCCC